This 369-nucleotide ribosomal RNA is filed under the name Triticum aestivum (bread wheat). Its description in RNAcentral is "partial small subunit ribosomal RNA". The record is from RNAcentral. Lineage: Eukaryota; Viridiplantae; Streptophyta; Magnoliopsida; Poales; Poaceae.
AUGUCAUGGUGUUGGAUCUGUGAUCUGAUUCGCAGGGAGUUCGUGAAGAAGAACUACAGUGACAUCAAGACCCGCAACCCCACCCUCCCCGUCCUCAUCCGCGAGUGCUCCGGUGUCGAGCCUCAGCUCUGGGCGCGCUACGGUAAGAAUCCCUCGAUCCCUUCUUUCCUGGGAACCAGAGAUCUUGCUCUUGCCAUGGUUCCCGGGAGGGUCUGUUCCGGUCUAUUGAUCUUCGGAACCCUUGCAUCUUUCAAGUGUGAAAUGUUUCUGUUGGAACUACCGGAUCUUGUUAUAUUGGGAGAUAUGGCAAGCGGGGACUUAGGACCGUCCAAUUCCACAGAAAUUUCCAUUGUUCACCUCAAAAUUUAG